Molecule: transfer RNA, 69 nt
Filed under: Anaxarcha zhengi
Lineage: Eukaryota; Metazoa; Arthropoda; Insecta; Mantodea; Hymenopodidae
Description: tRNA-Val
Source: RNAcentral
CAAAUUGGACUUAAAGUUAAGGUUUUCAUUUACACUGAAAUUUAUGUCGUGCAAUUCGAUACAAUUUGA